GGCCCUGUAGUGAAGUUCAUGGCGGGUUGCAAGCUCGUCGAUGCGCAUUUGUAGUGUGCCGGGGUCU
Molecule: transfer RNA, 67 nt
Filed under: Rhipidura albiscapa
Lineage: Eukaryota; Metazoa; Chordata; Aves; Passeriformes; Rhipiduridae
Also listed under: 1 other name
Description: tRNA-Cys
Source: RNAcentral